Molecule: ribosomal RNA, 370 nt
Filed under: uncultured bacterium
Lineage: Bacteria
Description: bacterial SSU rRNA
Rfam family: Bacterial small subunit ribosomal RNA
Source: RNAcentral
AGCGAACGCUGGCGGCAGGCCUAACACAUGCAAGUCGAACGGAUCCUUCGGGAUUAGUGGCGGACGGGUGAGUAACACGUGGGAACGUGCCCUUUGGUUCGGAACAACUCAGGGAAACUUGAGCUAAUACCGGAUAAGCCCUUCGGGGAAGGAUUAUCGCCAUUGGAGCGGCCCGCGUCUGAUUAGCUAGUUGGUGAGGUAAAGGACUCACCAAGGCUACGAUCAGUAGCUGGUCUGAGAGGAUGAUCAGCCACAUUGGGACUGAGACACGGCCCAAACUCCUACGGGAGGCAGCAGUGGGGAAGUCUUGCGCAAUGGGCGAAAGCCUGACGCAGCCAUGCCGCGUGAAUGAUGAAGGUCUUAGGAUUGU